RNAcentral lists this ribosomal RNA (600 nucleotides) under uncultured bacterium. RNAcentral describes it as "bacterial SSU rRNA". It matches the Rfam family "Bacterial small subunit ribosomal RNA", at positions 836 to 1431 of the family's 1533-position model. The record is from RNAcentral.
ACGGAUUCCCGCGAAGCAAAAGUAUUUAGUUGCCGCCUGGGGAGGACGGUCGCAAGGCUAAAACUCAAAAGAAUUGACGGGGGGUCCCCCAGCGGUGGAGCAUGUUGCUUAAUUCGGUGCACGCGAAGAACCUUAUCCUGGGCCUGACAUAUACGGAUCCUACUGGGAAACCAAGUCGGUUUCCUUCGGGGUGAAACGUAAACAGGUGCUGCAUGGCUGUCGUCAGCUCGUGUCGUGAGAUGUUGGGUUAAGUCCCGUAACGAGCGAAACCCUUGUCGUUAGUUGCCAGCGCGUUAUGGCGGGGACUCUAGCGAGACUGCCGGUGUUAAACCGGAGGAAGGUGGGGAUGACGUCAAGUCCUCAUGGCCUUUAUGCCCAGGGCUGCAAACGUGCUACAAUGGGUGGGACAAACCGAAGCGAGACCGCGAGGUGGAGCAAAUCGGAAAAACCCAUCCCCAGUUCGGAUCGCAGUCUGAAACUCGACUGCGUGAAGGUGGAAUCGCUAGUAAUCGCAGAUCAGCUAUGCUGCGGUGAAUGUGUUCCUGAGCUUUGUACACACCGCCCGUCAAGUCAUGGAAGCCGGUAGUACCCGAAGUCGCU